GGGGGGGCGAUGUCGGAUUUAUUGGGCGUAAGCGAGCGCAGGCGGUUUUUUAAGUCUGAUGUGAAAGCCUUCGGCUCAACCGAAGAAGUGCAUCGGAAACUGGGAAACUUGAGUGCAGAAGAGGACAGUGGAACUCCAUGUGUAGCGGUGAAAUGCGUAGAUAUAUGGAAGAACACCAGUGGCGAAGGCGGCUGUCUGGUCUGUAACUGACGCUGAGGCUCGAAAGUAUGGGUAGCAAACAGGAUUAGAUACCCUGGUAGUCCAUACCGUAAACGAUGAAUGCUAAGUGUUGGAGGGUUUCCGCCCUUCAGUGCUGCAGCUAACGCAUUAAGCAUUCCGCCUGGGGAGUACGGCCGCAAGGCUGAAACUCAAAGGAAUUGACGGGGGCCCGCACAAGCGGUGGAGCAUGUGGUUUAAUUCGAAGCUACGCGAAGAACCUUACCAGGUCUUGACAUACUAUGCAAAUCUAAGAGAUUAGACGUUCCCUUCGGGGACAUGGAUACAGGUGGUGCAUGGUUGUCGUCAGCUCGUGUCGUGAGAUGUUGGGUUAAGUCCCGCAACGAGCGCAACCCUUAUUAUCAGUUGCCAGCAUUAAGUUGGGCACUCUGGUGAGACUGCCGGUGACAAACCGGAGGAAGGUGGGGAUGACGUCAAAUCAUCAUGCCCCUUAUGACCUGGGCUACACACGUGCUACAAUGGAUGGUACAACGAGUUGCGAACUCGCGAGAGUAAGCUAAUCUCUUAAAGCCAUUCUCAGUUCGGAUUGUAGGCUGCAACUCGCCUACAUGAAGUCGGAAUCGCUAGUAAUCGCGGAUCAGCAUGCCGCGGUGAAUACGUUYCCCGGGCCUUGUACAMCCCSGCCCGU
RNAcentral lists this ribosomal RNA (865 nucleotides) under Lactiplantibacillus plantarum. RNAcentral's name for it is "bacterial SSU rRNA". It matches the Rfam family "Bacterial small subunit ribosomal RNA", at positions 532 to 1397 of the family's 1533-position model. The record is from RNAcentral. Lineage: Bacteria; Bacillati; Bacillota; Bacilli; Lactobacillales; Lactobacillaceae.